RNAcentral lists this transfer RNA (73 nucleotides) under Cordylochernes scorpioides. RNAcentral's name for it is "tRNA-Thr". It matches the Rfam family "tRNA". Rfam says of the family: Transfer RNA (tRNA) molecules are approximately 80 nucleotides in length. Their secondary structure includes four short double-helical elements and three loops (D, anti-codon, and T loops). The record is from RNAcentral. Lineage: Eukaryota; Metazoa; Arthropoda; Arachnida; Pseudoscorpiones; Chernetidae.
UCCAGGGUAGCCUAGUGGACAUGGCAUCUGCUCUGUACGUGGAUUACUGUGGAUUCGAUUCCCAUCCCUGGAC